This 465-nucleotide ribosomal RNA is filed under the name uncultured bacterium. RNAcentral's name for it is "partial 16S ribosomal RNA". It matches the Rfam family "Bacterial small subunit ribosomal RNA", at positions 28 to 507 of the family's 1533-position model. The record is from RNAcentral.
GAUGAACGCUGGCGGCGUGCUUAACACAUGCAAGUCGAACGGAAAGGCUCCUGCUUGCAGGGGUACUCGAGUGGCGAACGGGUGAGUAACACGUGGGUGAUCUGCCCUGCACUUUGGGAUAAGCCUGGGAAACUGGGUCUAAUACCGGAUAGGACGAUGGUUUGGAUGCCAUUGUGGGAAGUUUUUCGGCGUGGGAUGAGCUAGCGGCCUAUCAGCUUGUUGGUGGGGUAAUGGGCUACCAAGGCGGCGACGGGUUGCCGGCCUGAGAGGGUGGACGGCCACAUUGGGACUGAGAGACGGCCCAGCCUCCUACAGGAGGCAGCAGGGGGGAAUAUUGCACAAUGGGCGCAAGCCUGAUGCAGCGACGCCGCGUGGGGGAUGACGGCCUUCGGGUUGUAAACACCUUUCGCUAGGGACGAAGCGCAAGUGACGGUACCUGGAGAAGAAGCACCGGCUAACUACGUG